AGUGAACGCUGGCGGUAGGCCUAACACAUGCAAGUCGAACGGCAGCACAGUAAGAGCUUGCUCUUACGGUUGGCGAGUGGCGGACGGGUGAGGAAUACAUCGGAAUCUACUUUUUCGUGGGGGAUAACGUAGGGAAACUUACGCUAAUACCGCAUACGACCUACGGGUGAAAGCAGUGGAUCUUCGGACUUUGCGCGAUUGAAUGAGCCGAUGUCGGAUUAGCUAGUUGGCGGGGUAAAGGCCCACCAAGGCGACGAUCCGUAGCUGGUCUGAGAGGAUGAUCAGCCACACUGGAACUGAGACACGGUCCAGACUCCUACGGGAGGCAGCAGUGGGGAAUAUUGGACAAUGGGCGCAAGCCUGAUCCAGCCAUACCGCGUGGGUGAAGAAGGCCUUCGGGUUGUAAAGCCCUUUUGUUGGGAAAGAAAAGCAGCAGGUUAAUACCCCGCUGUUCUGACGGUACCCAAAGAAUAAGCACCGGCUAACUUCGUG
This 492-nucleotide ribosomal RNA is filed under the name uncultured bacterium. RNAcentral describes it as "partial 16S ribosomal RNA". It matches the Rfam family "Bacterial small subunit ribosomal RNA", at positions 29 to 507 of the family's 1533-position model. The record is from RNAcentral.